UUCUCACCCGAAAUUCUUUUCCACCACCGCCGUCUGAAAUGGGAAACUAACUGCAUACAUGUACCUCAGGAGGAUUAACCGAUCUCAACGUACGCCUACCAGCUGCAAGAGAAAUAUGCUUGUAAAUCAAUGAUAGCCAAAUGAAAUUUGAAGAUCUAAGAAGACAAGUACAGAUCAACAUACGCCUAUCUAAUAAACCAGGAAAGGGGUCAUUUGAAGAUGGCAGUAGCAAAGAUAGUUGCUUAUCAUCCUAAUGUCUUAUUGGUUGAGCAUAUCUCUUUAUGUCAAUAUCAAGAGGCCUCUGUUAGAGCAUAUAAAGCGCUGCACAAAUAGUUCCUUCGGUGGAUCAUCUUUUGUCUCAAAAGCCGGGUUAUUGUGAAGCAUUCCAUCUGGAGAAGUUCCUUGAAGCACAUGGGAGUGCUGGGCAGGGAGGAAAAGAAUUGGUGAAGACACUUAUGUUCGUUGAUGGGUGCCUCGACCCAUUGGGUUGUACAAUCUUUCUAAAGUGCAUCAUGGCGAUGAGCUGAAAAAAGUUAAACACGUUCUCCAGUUUGCGUCUUUGCAGCGUAUCACUUUCAUUGGAGACUUCUUUUCUUGCUGAUGAAAAUGGCUCUCUUCCAUAACAUCCAUUGAAGUCUCUCAUAAUUGGCGCCUUGCCCGAUAAACCAUCCAGUAUUAAAUGUCAAUAUCUACUAUACCUGGAUUCGCGGUUGUCCCUACCACAUCCAAACCUAGUCUCAUCCGAGAUAACCUCCCCAGGCGCUAUCUGCAAUCAAAACUUGGAUUUUGGCCAAUCUUCCGGUUUGUCUAAAUUCCCCGCUUGUCAAUACACAGAGGUGACCUGCAGCUUAAUGGCAUAUCCCUCUUCUUCUUCUUCGUUCUACCUACUCCAGCGAAUUAUGUCUCUGGUUUGGUCCGAAAUUAGCCAUAUUGUCCAUCUGAGGUGAAACAUUAAGCAGAAUUUCGAGAUUCUAUGGAUACCGAUGCUUCUGCAUCAAAUAGUUGAUAGGGAAUUGGUGGUAGUCCACUUGCUAAAAGUGCUGAGUUGUUGGGAAGAAAGAUGCAUUAUUUAUUGAUUCCCAAAGAAGCUAUACGAUUACCUAAUGAUUGUGGGUAAUGCAACUGCUAAGGCGAGGUAGUUAUAUUAUACAAGAUAUAAAUGAAACAACCACAUAUAAAGUCAACAUCUUUACAGAAAGACCUUGUAAUCACCUUGACAAGCUAGGACCUUCCAAAGACGAUUUUCCUCCACUCCCUUCGGGCCAUCAAGCAUCUUGGUUUCAUCAUCAAUCUGGAGUAGUGUGGA
Papaver somniferum (opium poppy) is the source of this 1306-nucleotide long non-coding RNA. RefSeq lists it as uncharacterized. Lineage: Eukaryota; Viridiplantae; Streptophyta; Magnoliopsida; Ranunculales; Papaveraceae. The record is from RefSeq and is a predicted model, not a curated record. The transcript is spliced from 3 exons.